RNAcentral lists this ribosomal RNA (446 nucleotides) under uncultured bacterium. Its description in RNAcentral is "SSU rRNA". It matches the Rfam family "Bacterial small subunit ribosomal RNA", at positions 26 to 518 of the family's 1533-position model. The record is from RNAcentral.
AGAAUGAACGCUGGCGGCAUGCCUAACACAUGCAAGUCGAACGAAGUCCUUCGGGGCUUAGUGGCGCACGGGUGCGUAACGCGUGGGAAUCUGCCCUUAGGUUCGGAAUAACAGUUGGAAACGACUGCUAAUACCGGAUGAUGACGUAAGUCCAAAGAUUUAUCGCCUAGGGAUGAGCCCGCGUAGGAUUAGCUAGUUGGUGUGGUAAAGGCGCACCAAGGCGACGAUCCUUAGCUGGUCUGAGAGGAUGAUCAGCCACACUGGGACUGAGACACGGCCCAGACUCCUACGGGAGGCAGCAGUGGGGAAUAUUGGACAAUGGGCGAAAGCCUGAUCCAGCAAUGCCGCGUGAGUGAUGAAGGCCUUAGGGUUGUAAAGCUCUUUUACCCGGAUGAUAAUGACAGUACCGGAGAAUAAGCUCCGGCUAACUCCGCGCCAGCAGCCGC